This 207-nucleotide ribosomal RNA is filed under the name uncultured bacterium. RNAcentral's name for it is "partial 16S ribosomal RNA". It matches the Rfam family "Bacterial small subunit ribosomal RNA", at positions 568 to 774 of the family's 1533-position model. The record is from RNAcentral.
CUUGUAGGUGGCCAUUUAAGUCAGAUGUGAAAUCGUACUGCUUAACAGUACAAUUGCAUUUGAUACUGAUUGGCUUGAGUGCAGGAAGGGAAAUUGGAAUUUCCGGUGUAGCGGUGAAAUGCGUAGAUAUCGGAAAGAACACCCGUGGCGAAGGCGGAUUUCUGGCCUGUAACUGACACUGAGGAGCGAAAGCUAGGGGAGCAAACA